RNAcentral lists this ribosomal RNA (301 nucleotides) under uncultured bacterium. Its description in RNAcentral is "partial 16S ribosomal RNA". It matches the Rfam family "Bacterial small subunit ribosomal RNA", at positions 509 to 807 of the family's 1533-position model. The record is from RNAcentral.
CAGCCGCCGCGGGAAAACGGAGGGGGCUAGCGUUGUUCGGAAUUACUGGGCGUAAAGCGCACGUAGGCGGCUUGGUAAGUUAGAGGUGAAAGCCUGGAGCUCAACUCCAGAAUUGCCUUUAAGACUGCCGAGCUAGCAGGUGAGAGAGGUAAGUGGAAUUCCGAGUGUAGAGGUGAAAUUCGUAGAUAUUCGGAAGAACACCAGUGGCGAAGGCGACUGACUGGACAAGUAUUGACGCUGAGGUGCGAAAGCGUGGGGAGCAAACAGGAUUAGAUACCCCUGUAGUCCCUGUCUCUUAUAC